AGAACAUCUGGUCACUUUCGCAAACAGAAUCCUUGGACUGUGACAGUGUUGGGAUGCCUGGGAGACACAAAUGUCACACAAUCUGGCUGCUCUUCUGAAGAAGCUAAAGCAUAUUCCUGUCCAGACACCGAAGAAGCAAGAUGUGACCUGCCCCGCUGAAAAAGAAAGAGACAGGUUGGCUCCUAGCAGCAACACUCUACUUCCUCCAAAGAAGACAGAAGACAAAUGGACACACAACAACGUCCAUCUGCACUGGGCAAAACUGCCUUUCAUCUAAGCUGAAGAUCUCCUGACGUGGACAGAAUCACUGGAAUCGACAGCCUAGCUGCUCAGGUCAAGGCAUAAGAGACUCCAGACAUUUCCAUGCCACAAACACCGGACAGGAGCAAAGAGACCAGCUAUGCCAGGAUGUGGCCAACACCCAGUCUUCUCAGGUCUCCCCCCAAAGACGAUACCCACAAAUAAGCCGGAAGCAGUCUUGAGAAUUUGCCGCCCCAAUUCAGUCCAACCUGUGGGUGUCCUAAUCUCCCCACUUUUUAUUAUAAAAAAGAGCUGGGAAUGUUAUGAUUGUUCGUCACUUUAAGUGACAAGCCAUGCACACUCCCUGCAGCCCCUCCUCCGUCGCCAUCUUGAUUUCUUGUCCUGUUCCUUCCCCACUCCCCUCCUUUCCUCUCUCGCUCUGUCCUUUUCUCUCUUCCUCUUUCUCUCCCUUCCCCCAUUCUUCCCGCUUUCCUUCCCAUUCCAUAAUUUAACUAAUAAAAUCCAAUUCUAUUCUGUA
This is a long non-coding RNA of Arvicola amphibius (Eurasian water vole), 778 nucleotides long. RefSeq lists it as uncharacterized. The record is from RefSeq and is a predicted model, not a curated record. NCBI's taxonomy places the organism in Eukaryota, Metazoa, Chordata, Mammalia, Rodentia, Cricetidae. The transcript has 4 exons.